Molecule: transfer RNA, 73 nt
Filed under: Candidatus Micrarchaeota archaeon CG1_02_55_22
Lineage: Archaea; Nanobdellati; Microcaldota
Description: tRNA-Gln
Rfam family: tRNA
About the family: Transfer RNA (tRNA) molecules are approximately 80 nucleotides in length. Their secondary structure includes four short double-helical elements and three loops (D, anti-codon, and T loops). Further hydrogen bonds mediate the characteristic L-shaped molecular structure. tRNAs have two regions of fundamental functional importance: the anti-codon, which is responsible for specific mRNA codon recognition, and the 3' end, to which the tRNAs corresponding amino acid is attached (by aminoacyl-tRNA synthetases). tRNAs cope with the degeneracy of the genetic code in two manners: having more than one tRNA (with a specific anti-codon) for a particular amino acid; and 'wobble' base-pairing, i.e. permitting non-standard base-pairing at the 3rd anti-codon position.
Source: RNAcentral
AGCCCCGUAGUGCAGCGGCCCAGCACGACUGGCUUUGGACCAGUAAACCGCGGUUCGAAUCCGCGCGGGGCUA